Molecule: ribosomal RNA, 450 nt
Filed under: uncultured bacterium
Lineage: Bacteria
Description: bacterial SSU rRNA
Rfam family: Bacterial small subunit ribosomal RNA
Source: RNAcentral
GUGGGGAAUAUUGGACAAUGGGCGAAAGCCUGAUCCAGCCAUGCCGCGUGUGUGAAGAAGGUCUUCGGAUUGUAAAGCACUUUAAGUUGGGAGGAAGGGCAGUAAGUUAAUACCUUGCUGUUUUGACGUUACCGACAGAAUAAGCACCGGCUAACUUCGUGCCAGCAGCCGCGGUAAUACGAAGGGUGCAAGCGUUAAUCGGAAUUACUGGGCGUAAAGCGCGCGUAGGUGGUUUUGUAAGUUGGAGGUGAAAUCCCCGGGCUCAACCUGGGAACUGCCUCAAAAACUGCAUUGCUAGAGUACGGUAGAGGGUAGUGGAAUUUCCUGUGUAGCGGUGAAAUGCGUAGAUAUAGGAAGGAACACCAGUGGCGAAGGCGACUACCUGGACUGAUACUGACACUGAGGUGCGAAAGCGUGGGGAGCAAACAGGAUUAGAUACCCUAGUAGUCC